AGCAUCUGAGAGACAGGUGUGCGUCAUGCAGUUGAAGCACCUGAGGACCCUGCUGAGCCCUCAGGAUGGAGCUGCAAAGGUGACCUGCAUGGCUUGGUCCCAGAACAAUGCCAAAUUUGCUGUCUGCACAGUGGACCGAGUGGUCUUGCUGUAUGAUGAACAUGGAGAACGGAGAGAUAAAUUCUCCACCAAACCAGCUGACAUGAAGUAUGGCAGGAAGAGCUAUAUGGUGAAGGGCAUGGCUUUUUCUCCUGAUUCCACUAAAAUUGCCAUAGGACAGACUGACAACAUCAUCUAUGUCUACAAGAUUGGAGAAGAUUGGGGUGACAAGAAAGUCAUCUGCAACAAGUUCAUCCAGACGAGUGCUGUCACUUGUCUGCAAUGGCCUGCAGAGUACAUCAUUGUCUUUGGACUGGCUGAAGGGAAGGUUCGUUUAGCAAACACCAAAACUAAUAAAUCAUCUACCAUCUAUGGGACAGAGUCUUACGUGGUGUCCCUGACAACAAAUUGCUCUGGGAAAGGAAUUCUCUCUGGUCAUGCAGAUGGUACCAUCGUUAGGUAUUUCUUUGAUGAUGAAGGCUCUGGAGAGUCACAGGGGAAGUUGGUUAACCACCCGUGUCCACCCUAUGCCUUGGCAUGGGCAACCAAUAGCAUCGUGGCUGCAGGCUGUGAUCGGAAAAUUGUAGCCUAUGGAAAAGAAGGCCACGUGCUACAAACUUUUGAUUAUAGCCGUGACCCUCAGGAGCGGGAGUUCACCACAGCUGUAGCAAGUCCUGGGGGCCAGUCUGUUGUGCUAGGAAGUUAUGACAGGCUUCGGGUGUUCAACUGGAUCCCUCAAAGAAGCAUCUGGGAAGAGGCAAAGCCCAAGGAGAUUACCAAUUUAUACACCAUCACUGCCUUGGCCUGGAAGCGGGAUGGCUCACGGCUGUGUGUGGGCACACUAUGUGGUGGGGUGGAACAGUUUGACUGCUGCCUCCGAAGGAGUAUUUACAAGAACAAGUUUGAGUUGACGUAUGUGGGACCUAGCCAGGUGAUUGUGAAGAACCUGUCAUCAGGAACCCGAGUGGUGCUCAAGUCACACUAUGGCUAUGAGGUGGAAGAGGUGAAAAUCCUAGGAAAGGAACGUUACUUGGUGGCCCACACAUCAGAAACACUGCUGCUGGGGGACCUGAACACUAAUCGGCUUAGUGAGAUAGCCUGGCAAGGAUCUGGUGGCAAUGAGAAGUAUUUCUUUGAAAAUGAGAAUGUAUGCAUGAUCUUCAAUGCUGGAGAGCUAACCCUGGUGGAAUAUGGGAAUAAUGACACCCUGGGUUCUGUACGCACUGAAUUCAUGAAUCCCCACCUCAUCAGUGUUCGUAUUAAUGAGAGGUGUCAGCGAGGAACAGAAGAUAAUAAGAAAUUGGCUUAUCUUAUUGAUAUUAAGACUAUUGCUAUAGUGGAUCUGAUUGGUGGCUACAACAUAGGCACCGUCAGCCAUGAGAGCCGUGUGGAUUGGCUGGAACUUAAUGAGACUGGACACAAGCUCCUCUUCAGGGACCGGAAACUUCGUUUGCAUCUGUAUGAUAUUGAAAGCUGCUCUAAGACAAUGAUCCUCAACUUCUGCUCCUACGUGCAGUGGGUCCCAGGUAGUGAUGUGCUGGUAGCUCAGAACCGAAACAGUCUGUGUGUGUGGUACAACAUUGAGGCACCUGAGAGAGUCACCAUGUUCACUCUUAGGGUAUGUUGGACACUAGGGGCCCUCAGAUGUGGUAUUGAGUUGAUUAAUUAGAGCCAUGAGGAGACUCUGAAGGCUACUUGGUUUUCUGUGUCCACCACCCUUAAUCUCUGUGAUA
This 1832-nucleotide small RNA is filed under the name Pongo abelii (Sumatran orangutan). RNAcentral describes it as "retained intron". The record is from RNAcentral. Lineage: Eukaryota; Metazoa; Chordata; Mammalia; Primates; Hominidae.